RNAcentral lists this ribosomal RNA (253 nucleotides) under uncultured prokaryote. RNAcentral describes it as "partial 16S ribosomal RNA". It matches the Rfam family "Bacterial small subunit ribosomal RNA", at positions 524 to 776 of the family's 1533-position model. The record is from RNAcentral.
UACGGAGGGUGCAAGCGUUAAUCGGAAUUACUGGGCGUAAAGCGCACGUAGGUGGUUUGUUAAGCCAGCUGUGAAAUCCCCGGGCUCAACCUGGGCACUGCAGUUGGAACUGGCAAGCUAGAGUAGGGUAGAGGGGUGUGGAAUUCCAGGUGUAGCGGUGAAAUGCGUAGAUAUCUGGAGGAACACCGGUGGCGAAGGCGGCAUCCUGGACCGGUAUUGACGCUGAGGCGCGAAAGCCAGGGGAGCAAACGGG